AGCAGAGUGGCCUAGUGGAAAGAGCACUGGCUUCAGAGUCAGGAGAUCUGGGUUCUAAUCCCAGCUCUGCCA
This 72-nucleotide transfer RNA is filed under the name Ornithorhynchus anatinus (platypus). It matches the Rfam family "tRNA". From Rfam's summary of the family: Transfer RNA (tRNA) molecules are approximately 80 nucleotides in length. Their secondary structure includes four short double-helical elements and three loops (D, anti-codon, and T loops). Further hydrogen bonds mediate the characteristic L-shaped molecular structure. tRNAs have two regions of fundamental functional importance: the anti-codon, which is responsible for specific mRNA codon recognition, and the 3' end, to which the tRNAs corresponding amino acid is attached (by aminoacyl-tRNA synthetases). tRNAs cope with the degeneracy of the genetic code in two manners: having more than one tRNA (with a specific anti-codon) for a particular amino acid; and 'wobble' base-pairing, i.e. permitting non-standard base-pairing at the 3rd anti-codon position. The record is from Rfam by way of RNAcentral. Lineage: Eukaryota; Metazoa; Chordata; Mammalia; Monotremata; Ornithorhynchidae.